GACGAACGCUGGCGGCGUGCCUAAUACAUGCAAGUCGUACGCUUCUUUUUCCACCGGAGCUUGCUCCACCGGAAAAAGAAGAGUGGCGAACGGGUGAGUAACACGUGGGUAACCUGCCCAUCAGAAGGGGAUAACACUUGGAAACAGGUGCUAAUACCGUAUAACAAUCGAAACCGCAUGGUUUUGAUUUGAAAGGCGCUUUCGGGUGUCGCUGAUGGAUGGACCCGCGGUGCAUUAGCUAGUUGGUGAGGUAACGGCUCACCAAGGCCACGAUGCAUAGCCGACCUGAGAGGGUGAUCGGCCACAUUGGGACUGAGACACGGCCCAAACUCCUACGGGAGGCAGCAGUAGGGAAUCUUCGGCAAUGGACGAAAGUCUGACCGAGCAACGCCGCGUGAGUGAAGAAGGUUUUCGGAUCGUAAAACUCUGUUGUUAGAGAAGAAUAAGGAUGAGAGUAACUGUUCAUCCCUUGACGGUAUCUAACCAGAAAGCCACGGCUAACUACGUGCCAGCAGCCGCGGUAAUACGUAGGUGGCAAGCGUUGUCCGGAUUUAUUGGGCGUAAAGCGAGCGCAGGCGGUUUCUUAAGUCUGAUGUGAAAGCCCCCGGCUCAACCGGGGAGGGUCAUUGGAAACUGGGAGACUUGAGUGCAGAAGAGGAGAGUGGAAUUCCAUGUGUAGCGGUGAAAUGCGUAGAUAUAUGGAGGAACACCAGUGGCGAAGGCGGCUCUCUGGUCUGUAACUGACGCUGAGGCUCGAAAGCGUGGGGAGCAAACAGGAUUAGAUACCCUGGUAGUCCACGCCGUAAACGAUGAGUGCUAAGUGUUGGAGGGUUUCCGCCCUUCAGUGCUGCAGCUAACGCAUUAAGCACUCCGCCUGGGGAGUACGACCGCAAGGUUGAAACUCAAAGGAAUUGACGGGGGCCCGCACAAGCGGUGGAGCAUGUGGUUUAAUUCGAAGCAACGCGAAGAACCUUACCAGGUCUUGACAUCCUUUGACCACUCUAGAGAUAGAGCUUCCCCUUCGGGGGCAAAGUGACAGGUGGUGCAUGGUUGUCGUCAGCUCGUGUCGUGAGAUGUUGGGUUAAGUCCCGCAACGAGCGCAACCCUUAUUGUUAGUUGCCAUCAUUCAGUUGGGCACUCUAGCAAGACUGCCGGUGACAAACCGGAGGAAGGUGGGGAUGACGUCAAAUCAUCAUGCCCCUUAUGACCUGGGCUACACACGUGCUACAAUGGGAAGUACAACGAGUCGCGAAGUCGCGAGGCUAAGCUAAUCUCUUAAAGCUUCUCUCAGUUCGGAUUGUAGGCUGCAACUCGCCUACAUGAAGCCGGAAUCGCUAGUAAUCGCGGAUCAGCACGCCGCGGUGAAUACGUUCCCGGGCCUUGUACACACCGCCCGUCACACCACGAGAGUUUGUAACACCCGAAGUCGGUGAGGUAACCUUUUGGAG
This 1448-nucleotide ribosomal RNA is filed under the name Enterococcus durans. RNAcentral's name for it is "16S ribosomal RNA". It matches the Rfam family "Bacterial small subunit ribosomal RNA". Lineage: Bacteria; Bacillati; Bacillota; Bacilli; Lactobacillales; Enterococcaceae. The record is from RNAcentral.